This 62-nucleotide transfer RNA is filed under the name Cristaria plicata. RNAcentral's name for it is "tRNA-His". Lineage: Eukaryota; Metazoa; Mollusca; Bivalvia; Unionida; Unionidae. RNAcentral also lists the same sequence under 1 other name. The record is from RNAcentral.
UAAUGAGUAGUUUAAGCAAAACAAUAGGUUGUGGUCUUGUAGAUGGGUUAAUCCCUCAUUAG